CUUGGAAAUGGGAAAAUUUUCCAAGGAUCUGGAAUUAAUUUCUCAAACCUCACUCGCUCAAAGACUUAUCCUCUAGCAUUUGCAGAAGAAGUUGCUUCUGAUUUUGCACCAUUAUCAGAUGCCAGGAACUGCUAUCCGGGAUCUCUAAAUUCAACAAAAGUAGCAGGAAAAAUAAUUGUCUGCACAUAUACUGAAGGAGCUAUACCAAGGUCAAUCAAAAAAUUAGUGGUUGAAGGUGACAAAGCCGAAGGACUAAUUUUGAUCGAUGAAGCUGAGAAAGAUUUACCAUUCAAUUCAGGAAUCUUCCCAUUUUCUGAAGUUGGGAAUGUUGUAGGGUCUCAAAUUCUGAAUUACAUUAACUCUACCAAGUGAGUUAUUAUUUUUAAUCAUACUUAUUUAUAAAAUCAUUAUUCUUGCUUACCUUUCUUUUUAAAGAAUCUAUAUUGACAAAUUUUAUAACCAUCGAUUUAGGAACCCAACUGCAACCAUACUUCCAACAACUGAAAUUCGAAAGUGCAGACCAGCUCCUGUUGUUGCUUAUUUCUCAUCAAGGGGUCCCGGAUGGCUUACACAAAACAUUCUUAAGGU
Molecule: non-coding RNA, 588 nt
Organism: Camellia sinensis
Lineage: Eukaryota; Viridiplantae; Streptophyta; Magnoliopsida; Ericales; Theaceae
Source: RefSeq, a predicted model, not a curated record